CGCUCCUUCCUCUGCAACCCUAUCCGCCGGUGCCUCGCCUCCGGGCCGCCGCUGCAGCCCCAAUCCCUACACCGCACCCCACUCCGACGAGGUGACCUCGGCGGUGCGGUUGACGCACUCGGGCGAGAUUUUGGUGCUCGGGGCGCAAGUUCCACAGGCUUCGGCGCCGGCUGUGGCCGGAGGAAGAGCCAUCGAGCGCCGGUCAAUUCUUUGGAAUUUAACCAUGGCUGAGAGGGUGCCAUGAUAGCUAGCAUCCACAGAUAGUCUCUGUCGACGUCUGAUGACAAACUCUGGUGAGUUCACCUGCCGAUGGGAUGUUUCUUCCGUCGCCUCCGGGAGGCCAGUGGCAGUUGCCAUAGACUCCCGGUUCUAUAGUUCCCUCCGAUCUACCGGAGGAGGAUCCUGCCGCAGCUUGGACCACGAUGGAUUGGAAGGUACCGGUGGGUUACUCAGAUCUGUCAAGAGAGAGAUGUGCAGGUUUCCACUGCUAGAUCGAAGAGGCUACACUUUGAUGUCCUCGGCAGAUGCCUAUGUCUGUUCGCUCGACAGGUGGGCUUAGCUGAAAAUAAGCCAUAAGUCAGCUCAGAUGGGGUGAUACAGGAUGACUGCUUUGGCUUGCAAGAUAUUCAGUUGGAGCAGGCAAGUGAGGUCCAAAAUGGUUGCCUGAGUCCCGAGGAGAUUGAUAUUUCACUUGGAGGCUAGGUACGAUUUUUAUAAAAUAGCACAAGGGCGAGAUCUGUGGUUCUCAAGAUAGUUUGAUAAGAUGAUGCCUUACAUAUAUGUUUUAUCGUUGUUCAGUUCAGCAAUGGCCAGCACCGGUAGGACUGGUGGUUCUGGAUUUGGAAGCGGCACUGGCAACUCGAAUUCGGGCAGCCCUGCUUUAGGUGGAACACAAAGUGCAGUCCAGAUGUUGAAUGCUAUUCAUGCGAUUCCUCUAAACGAUGAUCCGAAGUGGCCGCUAUGGAGGUAUGUGCAGAAAGUCGCCAAGACCGGUGGAGGGCAAGGCGUCAAUGCAAAAAUCAUAUGUAGGCUUUGUCCCGUGAUAUUACUGGGAGCUACUCAAGAGUGAUAAAACAUCUUUUGAAGUUGGGAAAUGGUGGAGUGAACAUUGUCCGGAAGUUACCAUUGAUGUUUUAAUUCAGCUCAAAGGUGAACAAGACAAGGCUGAUGCAAGUAGCCACAUGCCUAACAACAUUUUCCUACCGACUGAUAGGAAUGGGCGUGGGAGGAAGAGAAAGGCAUAAGCUAUUGAAGAAUGCUUCGAUGUCGAUUCUUGCAGAAAGCUGGAUGCUUUGAUUGCAAGGAUGUUCUAUACUGCAGGUCUGCCUUUCAAUCUUGCAAGAACCUGGCUAUGUCCAUCCAAGCUAGAACAAGAUCAGAACCAGCCUUCUUGUGCAAGAGAAGACACAUGUUGAAUGAUUGCUGCAGCCAAUCAAGUCAACAUUGAGCAACGAAGUUGUGAGUAUUGUGUCAGAUGGGUGGUCUGAUCUUCAAAGACAGCCUCUCUUAAAUUGUAUGGCUGUAACAGAAGAUAGGCCCAUGUUUUUAAGAGCAAUCAACACUGAGGGAGACAUAAAGAGCAAGGAGUACAUCUUUCAGAGGCUAUUAGAAACUAUUUAUUUUAUUGGAGCAGAGAAUGUUGUACAAGUGGUCACUCAUAAUGCAUCAAACUGCAGAGGGUGCGGGGCAGAUGAUGGAGCAAACGUACCCUCAUAUAUUCUGGACUCCAUACGUCGUCUGUACUUUGGACCUCGCGUUGAAGAGCAUAUAGGUGCAGCCUGGAAUGAGGAAGACCUGGAGUAUGAAUUCUGCAACUUGGUCAGCGAGGUUUCAUUGGAUGCGCAGCAUAUCCGGAACUUCAUAAUGAAUCACUCUAUGAGGUUGUCUAUGUUCAACGAGUGUAGCUAGCUGAAACUUCUUGCUAUUGCUGAAACAAGAUCUGCCUCUUAGAUUGGUACGCUGAAAAGGUUCCAUGAGAUCAAAGAAGCUCUUUGUUGGUUGUGAGCACCAAGUGGUCUGAUUAUAGAGAUGACAAUCAAGGUAGAGAACAGUUCGUGAAAGAGAAGGUUCUUAAUGAUUUGUGGUGGGAUAAAGUGAAGUAUAUUAUUGAUUUCAGCAACCCCGUCUAUUCUAUGAUACGUACAGCUGAUACGGAUGGGAAUUCAUGGUAACUCUGCCCUAGAGCUAGAAAAAUUGGCACUAAAAUUGCUUGGCCAGCCAUCGUCUUCUUGUGCUGAAAGAAAUUGGAGCACGUACGGUCCCAUACAUAGUACAGCAAGAAACAGGUCCUCUAUUCUACUUAAGUUAUUAGUUUCUUGCUUUUACCACCUACUUGGAAGAUCAGGAACUGGAGUUCCAUUUAAUUUCUUGUAAGAUGAACCCUGAACGUGCUGAAGAUUUUAUCUUUGUGCAUUAAAACUUGUCUUAUUUAAAGGAAAUCUGCAGAGUAUUCAAGUGGCCUAACACGAUUUUGGAACAUUGGAGGAGACACCCACGAUAUAUUUGAUGUUGGUGCAUUUUUUUUUCAACAAGUUGUGCUCUCACUAGAUGAACCAGAGCUAUAGGCACUGCUAGAUGAUCUUGAAGCCUUGGAGAUGGAGAAUGAAGCUCACUAGAUGAACCAGAGCUAGAGGCCGUGCUAGAUGAUCUUGAAGACUUGGAGGAAGCUAGGUGGAGAAGAGUGGGGCUGCACUGCUGCAGUUGACAAGCUUAUUUUUGGCAAGCAACCAUGUCACGGUUCUCCUGUGCCCCUAUAUAAUAAUUCUCAUUCUUGUGAAAAAAUCAGUAAUUUGUAUAUUUAUUAAUGUUCAUUCUAUAUACACAAAAGUAUCCCCAUAUCCAUGUUUUCGGAAAAUCACCGUAUAGCGGUAUCCGUAUCCGGGCAACAUAGCUUCCAAGUUCACAUUAUAUGCAUGGAGUGUUCUAGUCAACUGAAAACAAUACAGAGGUGCAGGAGGGUGUCCUAGCCGAUAGUACAAUUUUAUUUCCUUUUCUCAUUUUACAUUGAAAUCUCUAUUUAUAAAAUUAUCCUGCAGGUCAGCAUGUCGCAUGAUAGCGUUCUCUCUUCAUCACCUGAAAAUAUGUAAGACUAGAGAAGGUAUGCUCAAUAUCAUUGUUGAAGAUCCUUUCCACAUUGUUUGCUUUGAUUUUUGGUGAUAGAUCUAUUAGUGUCAUAGACAGUUGGACUUCGAAACAAACUAGGAAGCCUCUGCCUUAGAUUUUCAACACGCAAAAGCAAUUGAGUGUCCCACAAACCACCCUGUUUUCUUCAAGUCAUCUAGACCGUCCAUACACAUUCAAGUCAGCCAGAGUCCACGGACUAGAUGGGCGAGCAGAAUUAGUUCAGGACCCCACAUGUUUCUAAGUAGCUGUCACUGUAGCUUCUGUGCCCCUCCUACGAUUCUCUCUCCAUUGCGCUUUGACGACAACACUUUCCCUUAAAUCUUAUGAAGACACCUUUCCCAAGUUAGAACACCAAAAGUUAAUGUUCAGCCAAGCACUGCGUGAGCUGGAAAGGGUCAAUUUUUCAAGAGAUGAAAUGAAGAAUAUCAUGAAAGUGUAUGGUAAAUUCCUAUCAGAUUCAGGAAAUUUUGUCUACAAGAAUGUGAGUAACGACGACAACAUUAAGAUGGGAUAUGUGUACUUUGAAGCAGGAUAAAAUCAAAAUGGAAACAAUGGUAGAUAAGAUCAUACAAUAUUAAAAAAAACACUUUUUUUGUGGCUUAGAUUUCAUAAAAAAUAGAUGACAUAGUGAAUAAGAUUGGAAGUUAUGGUUUCCUGACAGACUCUGCAGAUAUAUAGGCUGUGUGACUCUCAAGCAGUAUAAAAUCGAAAUGGAGGCAGUGGUAGAUAAGAUUAUAAAAUAUUUUUAGGAAAACACUUCUCUGUGGCUUAUAUUUCAGAGAAAAUAGAUAAUAUAGUAAAUAAGAGUGGAAGUUAUGGUUUCCUGACAGACUGCAAAGAUAUAUAGGCUGUGUCCUUCCAGACACCUUGCACUAAACUAGGAGUCCAGAAACCAGAACAUGAUCUGAUGAGAGUGCAGAUGCACCAAAAGCUUGCAUCAUAUCAAAAGGAAUAUGGCAGCAUCCAAAACAUAUGAAUUAACCCUCCAUAUUGAAAUUACAGAAAGCACUGGAGUUAAUAAGGUAAACUGGUUCAUAGGACAUAUGCACUUGCAAUAGCUAGACAAUAGAAAUGCUGAGUUCACAACAGGAGGCGUUUAACAGUUUAUAGCACAUAGUCUCCUGCUAUCUUAUUUAAUUUCCUGUCCUUCAUUGCGUUCGUCACUGUCCCAUUGUUUUCCUUAUUGGGCUCCAAGCUCACUGCAAAGCAGAAGAAUUUUCUUUUAGUAAAACUAGAUUGACAAGCAGAAGAAUUUUCUUUAAGUGAAACUAGACUCAGAAUAGAAAUGUGAAGCAUGGUUAAUUCACAUCCUGGAGUUUUAACUAGCAAUAUUUGUCGCUGUAAAUUCUGUACUACCAACUGUAAUGCAUGUCGCAUUCUAUCAACAGGCCUUAGGAAAUUACUAUAUUUUUUUUUGUCUUGCUUGAUUAUGGAUGCAUAAGUACACAAUUCUUCAUUGUCAUGCUAUACACGCUAUACAGGUUAUUCUUGAUUGUCAACCCAGCUUGAUUCUAGUACGGCUCUAUGAAAUGUGGGUUUCAGGUAAACCAAGCUUGAUAAAGGAAUAUAGCAGCUAAUCGAGAUGCAAAUGGGGCAGUGUUAUUACCCUGCAAUUAGAAGUUAGGCCAAGCUUUUAACAUUGGGAACGAACAUUUCACUAUAUCCUUGAGACUGAAAUACUGUAAUUGUUUGCAGGAUCAGUAUUCACAGGUAAACAAAGAUUUACAAAGGAAUAUAGCUGCUAAUCGAGAUGCAAAUGGAGCAAUGAGGAUGGAGAUAGCUAUUAUGGAGACAGGAUUUAAUAUGCCUCAUUUAUUAUCAGAUUGCUCUGUGUAUUUCAAACAUUAAUCUGCCACCUUUACUAAUGAUAUAUAAUGGUCGUUUUAGCCCCUGCA
Lolium rigidum is the source of this 5018-nucleotide long non-coding RNA. RefSeq lists it as uncharacterized. Lineage: Eukaryota; Viridiplantae; Streptophyta; Magnoliopsida; Poales; Poaceae. The record is from RefSeq and is a predicted model, not a curated record. The transcript has 5 exons.